This 1270-nucleotide long non-coding RNA is filed under the name Zalophus californianus (California sea lion). RNAcentral describes it as "lncRNA (ENSZCAG00015006157.1)". Lineage: Eukaryota; Metazoa; Chordata; Mammalia; Carnivora; Otariidae. The record is from RNAcentral.
CCUGUGCUCAGGGCACGGAACACAGGCGGCCUCCAGCCCUGGAGCAUUAAAUUAAAGAUGUAGGCAGUCUGCUGGAAACUAUUAAAGUUAUCUCAGAUGCUUUUCCCUUGGAAAUAAGGAGACGCUUCUGGUUUUGAUUUUUACGUAGCCGGAUUGGUGGGUUUGUGCACAGAAGAGGGCCUGGGCUGCGGUUUCUACCUUCUUCCGUUUGCUCUCCAUUCCCCCUUUUUUUUUAAGAGCGUAGGAAAGGGGCAAAAAGGAAGAGCCUUUGGGAGAGGAUGACAAACAAAUUGAAGAGUUCAGGAAAAGUGAAACCAUCAAGGGUAUGGCAGCGGUGGGAUUCGAACCCACGCCAUCGAAAUGACUGGAGCCUAAAUCCAGCGCCUUAGACCACUCGGCCACGCUACCGCCCGUCACAGCCCUUUCCACUGCAACUAUAUUAGUUUAAUGACGUAGCGUCUCAUGCUCCGUGGCCCCACCCUCUUGGGUUUGCGCAUGCCCAAUAUGAGCCAAGUGUUCCUGCGCUUGUUAAGGUGUCUUGGUCCGUGGCUCCCUUCUGCGUCUUGGAAUCAUAGUACUUUUUUGAUUGGCACCAAAAACUGCGGUCGGAACGCAGCACUAAAAGGGAAAGAAGAGUUCCCAGCUGUUAAACAUUAAUAUGCAGUCCUCACGUGUGUGUGCGUUGGAUUUGCCGUGCGCGUCGUAUACUGUCUGCAGCCACGUGGGGGCGGUACCGCGCUGUCCCUUCCUCCCUUUCGGGGCUGGGGGUCCCGCGGGGAGCAUUGCUCUGUACAGAACCCGGCUGGGACCCCAUCUUACGGACUCGCCAUCCCUACUCCAGGUCAGCUCUGCAAGCCCUAGGUGGCCCCAUGGUCCCUGCCACCGCGAGGAUUGCUGGGAGAAUCAGACUCAUUCAUUCUGCAGAUAUUCCUUGAGCACCUGCAGGAGGUCAGGCACUCUUCUGGGCAGUUGGCUACACUGGAAUGAAGCGGAGGAAGAUUGAACGUGGUAAUGUAUGUCAUGCACUUAAAAGAUUUUUAUUAUUUAUUUGACAGAGAAAGAGAGCAUGAGCAGGGGUGAGGGGCAAGGGGAGAGGGAGAAGCAGGUUCCCCCCUGAGCAGGGAGCUGGAUGUGGGACUUGAUCCUAGGACCCUGGACCAUGACCUGAGCCAAAGGAAGAUGCUUAACCCACUGAGCCACCCAGGUGCACUCUGUGUCAUGCACCUGGGAUGUGGUAGUGGUGACUCCAGGGACCUAAGCUCUCCUCGCA